GCUGUGAUUCCUUUCUAUUCGCGACAUCUCCUCUCGCGCGGCUAGGGCACGCAGCCUCCCACCGCCGGCCGUCUCUUCUUCCUCACCACCGGUCGGCAGCUCUUUCUUCUCUUCACUGCCGCCGGCCGGACCUCCAUAGCCCACCCUUCUUCUUGAUUCCAGCGGCGACAGCAGCAAGCACCGACGACGACUCCGAGCAUCCACCUCACCUGUACGCCAUGUGGUUGAAGCACAUCGAUGCAUCAUGCGGGUUCUCUGCCUCAGGUAGGGUGUGCUGGGUGUGCAGACGUUGUUAAUAGAAUCCGGGGAGUGCUUGGCGGGAGAGGGGAUUUUCGGGCUAUCAGGGAGAUGAACUACAGGAGCAGUUCGAUUUCUUCAGCUGCUAAGGCUUCUGCCAGGGCAUUUGAUUUCGGAAGGACCCAUGUGGUUCGACCCAAGGGAAGGCAUUUGGCCACUGUCAUGUGGCUUCAUGGCCUAGGUGAUAAUGGAGCAAGAUUUUAGUUGAUACACAAGGAGAGCGCCAUUUCAAAGCUGAAGUUGGAACUAUCAGUCGUGCACACCAUCGCCAUUUGGUUUCUCUUGUAGGUUACUGUGUAUCAGAGAAUCAGAGAUUGCUCGUCUAUGAUUAUGUGCCCAAUAGAACUCUUUAUUACCAUCUCCAUGGAAAAGGAAGAGCAGUAAUGCAAUGGACCAAGAGGGUUAAGGUCGCUGUUGGGACAGCUCGUGGAAUAACAUACCUUCAUGAGGAGUGUAAUUUCUAUUUUCUUUCUUGUUCCACUCAUCUUUGUUGACUUGAAAUAAACCAUACAUUAAAUCAGAAAUUUUUGUCAAUUUUAGUUCUUGUAUCAGGUAAUCCUCGGAUAAUUCACAGAGAUAUCAAGUCCUCAAACAUUUUAUUAGAUUACAACUUUGAGGCUAAGGCUGCCAUACAUCUUAUUUGGUGCACUGAAACUGCCAGAACUUUGAAAUAGAACUAUCUACUUUGUCAUCAUAUGUUUUAAAUUCGAAUGUCAUUAUUUACUUUGAAACAGAACUAUUUAGUUUUUCUGUAUAGUUGAAUUCUCCUGUAAAUACUAAUACUUUGUAUUGAAUUC
Molecule: long non-coding RNA, 1094 nt
Organism: Zingiber officinale
Lineage: Eukaryota; Viridiplantae; Streptophyta; Magnoliopsida; Zingiberales; Zingiberaceae
Exons: 5
Source: RefSeq, a predicted model, not a curated record